UGGGAACCUUCCCUAUGGUUCGGAAUAGCUCAGGGAAACUUGGGGUAAUACCGGAUAAGCCCUUCGGGGAAAGAUUUAUCGCCAUUGGAUGGGCCCGCGUCGGAUUAGCUAGUUGGUGAGGUAACGGCUCACCAAGGCAACGAUCCGUAGCCGACCUGAGAGGGUGAUCGGCCACAUUGGAACUGAGACACGGUCCAGACUCCUACGGGAGGCAG
RNAcentral lists this ribosomal RNA (215 nucleotides) under uncultured bacterium. RNAcentral describes it as "partial 16S ribosomal RNA". It matches the Rfam family "Bacterial small subunit ribosomal RNA", at positions 118 to 351 of the family's 1533-position model. The record is from RNAcentral.